This 253-nucleotide ribosomal RNA is filed under the name uncultured bacterium. Its description in RNAcentral is "partial 16S ribosomal RNA". It matches the Rfam family "Bacterial small subunit ribosomal RNA", at positions 524 to 776 of the family's 1533-position model. The record is from RNAcentral.
UACGUAGGGUGCGAGCGUUAAUCGGAAUUACUGGGCGUAAAGCGUGCGCAGGCGGUUUUGUAAGCCAGAUGUGAAAUCCCCGGGCUUAACCUGGGAACUGCAUCCGAUACUGGAUGGCUUGAAUCCGGGAGAGGGAUGCAGAAUUCCAGGUGUAGCGGUGAAAUGCGUAGAUAUCUGGAGGAAUACCGGUGGCGAAGGCGGCAUCCUGGACCGGCAUUGACGCUGAUGAGCGAAAGCUAGGGGAGCAAACGGG